RNAcentral lists this ribosomal RNA (301 nucleotides) under uncultured bacterium. RNAcentral's name for it is "partial 16S ribosomal RNA". It matches the Rfam family "Bacterial small subunit ribosomal RNA", at positions 509 to 807 of the family's 1533-position model. The record is from RNAcentral.
CAGUCGCCGCGGGAAAACGUAGGUGGCAAGCGUUGUCCGGAAUUAUUGGGCGUAAAGGGCUCGCAGGCGGUUUCUUAAGUCUGAUGUGAAAGCCCCCGGCUCAACCGGGGAGGGUCAUUGGAAACUGGAAAACUUGAGUGCAGAAGAGGAGAGUGGAAUUCCACGUGUAGCGGUGAAAUGCGUAGAGAUGUGGAGGAACACCAGUGGCGAAGGCGACUCUCUGGUCUGUAACUGACGCUGAGGAGCGAAAGCGUGGGGAGCGAACAGGAUUAGAUACCCCCGUAGUCCCUGUCUCUUAUAC